UACGUAGGGUGCGAGCGUUGUCCGGAAUUAUUGGGCGUAAAGAGCUUGUAGGCGGUUUGUCGCGUCUGCCGUGAAAGUCCGGGGCUCAACUCCGGAUCUGCGGUGGGUACGGGCAGACUAGAGUGCAGUAGGGGAGACUGGAAUUCCUGGUGUAGCGGUGAAAUGCGCAGAUAUCAGGAGGAACACCGAUGGCGAAGGCAGGUCUCUGGGCUGUAACUGACGCUGAGGAGCGAAAGCAUGGGGAGCGAACAGG
This 253-nucleotide ribosomal RNA is filed under the name uncultured bacterium. Its description in RNAcentral is "partial 16S ribosomal RNA". It matches the Rfam family "Bacterial small subunit ribosomal RNA", at positions 524 to 776 of the family's 1533-position model. The record is from RNAcentral.